AUGGAAAUCUCUGUAAUUUUUAGAUAGUA
Molecule: transfer RNA, 29 nt
Filed under: Parasenegalia visco (viscote negro)
Lineage: Eukaryota; Viridiplantae; Streptophyta; Magnoliopsida; Fabales; Fabaceae
Also listed under: 3 other names
Description: partial tRNA-His
Source: RNAcentral